UUAACUAUUAUAUAGUACUCAGACGACAUUUAAAAUAAGAGUUUUGGGUCCUCUGGCGAGCGCUGACCAGCUAAAGCCGGUGGUCCGAAGACGGGCUCGCCAAAGCAACAAAGGUAUGUAAACAAAGGGUGGGAGAUUUACCCCGAAGGGCAAGUUCUCUGUAAUGAUCCUUCCGCAGGUUCACCUACGGAACGCAAGACUCUACCGCUCUUUCGAGAGGAGGCCGGUCAUAUCUAAAUCUCAACUCCUUUAAGUGAUAGGGGUCGGGACCACCUCCGUCUGAUCUGUGGACUGCUUUAGCAGCUGCGAGUCACCUGUAAAGAUGUUCGCGCAGAAUGGAAGUGUUGCCUACUUAAGAGUAGACUGGGAAUCCAAGGCUUCAUGUAGGUAUACUGUAAAA
Molecule: unclassified non-coding RNA, 400 nt
Filed under: uncultured fungus
Lineage: Eukaryota; Fungi
Description: sequence contains ITS1
Source: RNAcentral